UACGUAGGCAGCGAGCGUUGUUCGGAAUUACUGGGCGUAAAGAGUGUGUAGGCGGUGCUCUAAGUUCGGUGUGAAAUCUCCCGGCUUAACUGGGAGGGUGCGCCGGAAACUGGAGUGCUCGAGCGUGGGAGAGGAAAGCGGAAUUCCUGGUGUAGCGGUGAAAUGCGUAGAUAUCAGGAGGAACACCAAUGGCGAAGGCAGCUCGCUGGGACGGUACUGACGCUGAGACGCGAAAGCGUGGGGAGCAAACAGG
This 253-nucleotide ribosomal RNA is filed under the name uncultured bacterium. RNAcentral's name for it is "partial 16S ribosomal RNA". It matches the Rfam family "Bacterial small subunit ribosomal RNA", at positions 524 to 776 of the family's 1533-position model. The record is from RNAcentral.